Seriola aureovittata is the source of this 2260-nucleotide long non-coding RNA. RefSeq lists it as uncharacterized. The record is from RefSeq and is a predicted model, not a curated record. The transcript is spliced from 2 exons. NCBI's taxonomy places the organism in Eukaryota, Metazoa, Chordata, Actinopteri, Carangiformes, Carangidae.
CUGAUGUGUUACUUCAGGUAAAAAUCAUAAAACUCAACAGCCCAAAAGAAACUCCUCGACAGAUACUUUUCACCUGAAAAUGACAAGUAACGUCAAUGCGGCGCAGCUUGGCAGUCUGCAGAUACCUCCCAAGGGAAGGGAAGGGACCAUCAGCAUUGACGGCCAAUAGGAACAGUGUCUCAGGAAUAAUGCUGUUAUUAUGUUAAUGACCCUAAACAGCCUGUUUCAUAAAAGGUGGGUGUGGCGCACUGGAAACCAAAUGACUUUAAACAAACAGCCUGUGGUAUAAACAGACAUCACAUACAACAUCACAUACAACAAAGGUUUUAAUAUGUAAAAGUUUGUCAGAAAGCAUUUUCACCCCACGUUAAUGUCUAAUCCACCUUUAAAGCAAUAACACAUUACUAUUAUUACCUUUCUUCACUGUAAAUCCUUUAUUUCUGGAUGGUUAGGAAAUACAUAUAUUUUACUUCAAAGUCAAGGUGAAACUAAAAAACGUUGGCUUCAGUCAUGUCUACUGGGUCAAAUAAAAGGCAGGUAAAGUGCCCAGCAAUUUGACCUGGAUCUCCAUCAUGCUUUUGAGCUCAACAGCUGAUUGUUAACGCAGCAAAAAACGAAGAACAGCAAAUGUACAUUGUUUCGAUCUUUUAUCUCACUAUUUCUAAAACUCUGAAAUAUACAUCACAAUAUACACAAGGACACAUGUAUAAUCUGAUGCAAUCCACUACAAAAAUACCCUGCAAUGUAAAUGCCAUUAGAUACAAUGUUAGCCCUAAUUAUACUGGUAACAAUGUAAAGUUAUCUAUGAUUGAAUUAUAGAAUGACAGUAUGCAUAAUCCUGAAUAACUCAACUACUGUAAUUACUACAUUAACACAGCGAGAGGUCUUUGUUAGCCUCCUGAAGGAAGCUAAUCUUUUCUUAGUGGACCAUGUGAUGAUCAUUCCUCCAGUAAAGGCUCAUAAGUGGAUGGUGUUAAAGUUUCCGUGGCCUAGUUAGACACAGCUUUUUCACAUUAUUUUCAAACCCACCCCAGCUUUUAUCAGACCCACUCUGUGGCCAAGGACUGGUGAGUAACAUUUGCUCAGGAAAUUAGAAGUUGGAGUGAAGACUGUAUGGUGAGAACUGAGCAGUUCUCCUGCAGAUUUCUCCUGAGCUCUCAUCCAGCUUAAACAGUUGUCACAGGCUGACGCAAACCCACAGAUUUCCUGAGAAUUGGGUGCAAAGGCGGACCAGGAUCUCUUUUCACAGAAGAAAAUGCAAUCUUUUCAGAGAAAGGCCCAAGAAGAACGUGCUCAGUCAUCCCUGUCCUGUACACCGGUUUAAACUCCUUUAAGAACACAAAAACAUGUUUUUGGAAAGAUUUAAGGUCAAAAAUAUGAGAUGCAGUUGCACUUGAGAAGUCAAAGGAAGUUAUUUGAUAGGACUUGUCAGCACACUGUGCUGAAAUGAAGUGCACCUAGAGGGGAAAAUGCAGAGCAGAGUGACAGAUUGAGACAUUCUGACUUUCUUUGGAGAAAUCCUCCAUAAUCUUUAUCAGAAUGGUGCAACUGCAUCUGUUUAGAGAGGUUAUUCUGUAACACCUCAUUUUCCACCAGUUACAAGCAAAGUUUGACUCAUGUCAAUAAGUUGUCGUGUUCACAGCCCAAGAAGAAUUACUUUUGCUGAUUUCAAUGACAAACAGAUUGUUAUGGGGUUAUGUCUUCUAACAUUUUAAACAAUAGAACAUUAGCAAUGGCCUCACACUAAUGUCAAAAACAUUAUGAGGACUUAUGGUGCUCUGUCAUGGCUGACACUGUGGAGUCAGUUGUUACACAUUAAAAUUGAACACAUCUUAAGCAAUGCCAUGUCCAAGUUACUAAUUACACCACUGAUCUUACACAUGGAGAUCAGUUUUCUCAUCAUGGUUGGUACUACUCAGCCUGUAAAAAUAGUGUAAGCUCUUACGUAUGUGGCUUUGGAUGGGGCUGUCUAAAGUUUAUGAUGUCAUUAGAGUUAUCUUGGUUUGGAGUUGACACUAUAAAUCUUGUAGAGAGCCUACUCUGUGAACUCUAGAAAUAUGUGGGCAUUUACCAGGCAGGGAAAGGUUAUAAUGGGAAAUGUAGUAUUAAGCAUUUUUGGAGAAUGAUCACAGACACUGAUUCUGACCAUUUAAAAAAAACAAACUGUCUUAAUAUGAAUCCCCAAACUUUAUGGAAGUGCUUUACCAAAUUGCUGGCAUACCCCUUUUAUGUUGAUGAUUAAAAAAUACUACAAUUAUAA